This 508-nucleotide ribosomal RNA is filed under the name uncultured bacterium. RNAcentral describes it as "bacterial SSU rRNA". It matches the Rfam family "Bacterial small subunit ribosomal RNA", at positions 19 to 518 of the family's 1533-position model. The record is from RNAcentral.
CUGGCUCAGAACGAACGCUGGCGGCGCGUUUUAAGCAUGCAAGUCGAGCGGCAAGGGCCUUCGGGCCCUAGAGCGGCGGACGGGUGAGUAACACGUGGACAAUCUGCCCCCCGGCCCGGGAUAGCCCAGGGAAACCUGGAUUAAUACCGGAUGAGACGGGACCCGCGAUGGCGGGACCCGGGAAAGGCGCUGCGGCGCCGCCGGGGGAUGAGUCUGCGUCCCAUUAGCUAGACGGCGGGGUAACGGCCCACCGUGGCGACGAUGGGUAGCCGGCCUGAGAGGGUGGACGGCCACAUUGGAACUGAGACACGGUCCAGACUCCUACGGGAGGCAGCAGCUAAGAAUCUUCCGCAAUGGGCGAAAGCCUGACGGAAGCGACGCCGCGUGAACGAAGAAGGCCGUGAGGUUGUAAAGUUCUUUUGGGAGGGGGAACAACCGUGGCAGGGAAUGGCCGCGGGAUGACGUGAAUCCCGGAAUAAGCCCCGGCUAACUACGUGCCAGCCGCCGC